UAACCUGCCCAAGAGAUCGGGAUAACACCUGGAAACAGAUGCUAAUACCGGAUAACAACAGAUGAUGCCUAUCAACUGUUUAAAAGAUGGUUCUGCUAUCACUCUUGGAUGGACCUGCGGUGCAUUAGCUAGUUGGUAGGGUAACGGCCUACCAAGGCUAUGAUGCAUAGCCGAGUUGAGAGACUGAUCGGCCACAUUGGGACUGAGACACGGCCCAAACUCCUACGGGAGGCAGCAGCC
Molecule: ribosomal RNA, 240 nt
Filed under: uncultured Lactobacillus sp.
Lineage: Bacteria; Bacillati; Bacillota; Bacilli; Lactobacillales; Lactobacillaceae
Description: partial 16S ribosomal RNA
Rfam family: Bacterial small subunit ribosomal RNA
Source: RNAcentral